Molecule: non-coding RNA, 6305 nt
Organism: Macaca mulatta (Rhesus monkey)
Lineage: Eukaryota; Metazoa; Chordata; Mammalia; Primates; Cercopithecidae
Source: RefSeq, a predicted model, not a curated record
CUGACCUCGUGAUCCACCCGUCUCGGCCUCCCAAAGUGCUGGGAUUACAGGCUUGAGCCACCGCGCCCGGCCACUAUUCACCUUUGACACGACCCCAAAAGCCCUCCCUUCCCAAAGCAACUACCUCACUGCAAGAAAUAUCUGCUAAAAAAAUUUUAGUCUUCUAGUUUUAAGGAGUGAUCUCUCAACCUGACGGUCAACCUGACAUUAAAAUUCAGAGAUAUUCCUAUUGACCUGUAUUAACUCCUGCGGUAGAGGCUAGGAAGACAGCCCUGAAUAAAACAGUCAACCUCCCCUUUUCUGCAGGAAGAAGGCAAACAUUAACAGAAUAGGGAGCUCAUGGAGUCAGCACUCCCGGAGACAAGACAGCCAGAUUUUCCUUAAAAAGUGACCCAAGGGCUGAAAACCAAAGGAGAAGUAGGAUUUUUCUCAACAACAACAUCUUGAGGCAUAAUAAUAAGUAAAAAACAACGCAUUGAAUGUGAUUAAAGCUUAUUUUUUUCCAUAGCAAUUACAACAAAUACAAUCUAGUCUGAAUUUGACACCGACCCCUCCCUCCCACUGCCACUACCAUGAAGCCAGUGGGGUUGUAAUCGUAGUUCCCACUGCACAGGCUUUGAGAAGGCUUCAGUGAAAUACCCAUGGUCACACAGCUACUCAGUAAAAGAAUACAAAAUAAUAAAUGAGCCUUCCAAUUCCAACUCCAGGAAACUUCUGAGCACAGCCUUCAGAGAAAUUGGCUGGGGAGUAGAGGUAAGAGGAGAGAUUAGCCUAACCUCAGAUGCCCAACUUCAGCAGUAGAACUCGGUUUUAUAAAUAAAUGCAGGAUUUAAUGGAAAGACUUCAGAGACAUAUCCAAGCUCAAAUCCCAGCUCUGCCAGUGAUUAGCUCUAACCUUGGGCAAAUAAUUCAACCCAACUAUAAUAUGUGACUCCUUCCAAGCUAGCAGGAAGAUUAAAUGAGCUACUAGAAGACAUACAACUAGUACCUGAUACCUUACAUGUUCUAAUAAAUUUGUCUUCUUUUUCCUGUAACCCAAGAAAAGAAGUAAAGCAAAAAUGUCGCUUCACAAGAGAGGCACUAGAAAAAAUACUCCAAAUGGCCAGCCGGCUGUGGAGCCCUCACGACCAAGAGGGAGGUGCAAAUAUUAAUAAUACUGGGAGGCAGGAGGGCACCCAUGGAUGAUGCCUGCUCUCCCCCUGAUUCAGCUCCAAGACAUAGGGAGAGUCAUUCACACUACAGCAGAAGGAAACCUAGAUAGGAUGUGUUCUAGAGGAAACAGGAGCCAAAAAAUAAGGAAGAGAAAUUGGGCAACUAGAUGAAAUACUUGGAUGUAGGACCCUCUUCUGUGCUCUUCCUUGAUACCUUGGCUCUGUUUGCACCUCAUAUGCCCUGUGACCUAUGUAUGUGACUGCCAUGAUUGUCCUUUUUGACAGAUAAAAAGAUUAAAGGCAGAUUUAGGUCCCUCCCAGAGUACACGUUUAUCUCAACAUGAAGUGCAUUUCUGGUCCAAUUUCUGCUUCCAGGUUGCUCUGCUCCAUACACUUUUUUGCUCCAACUUUAACUUGUGCUACUUUGUAAUAAUUUAUGUUCCUUUAUAAGACUCCUGAAAUCUCUUUAUGAAAAGAUAGGUAUAAGUGAAGAAAUGCAAGGCAAAUAAGUAAACAUUAGAUUUAAAAAGUUGUUUUUAACAUUCCCACUCGCCAGCCCUCAGGCUGUUUCUAAAUUCAGCUUCUGAAGCUCUAAACAUCUACUAUUGUUCAGGGCUGUUACGGCAUUCCAAGCAAAGUUUCCUUUAAAUAAGAAAACCCUAUAAAAAUGCCCAAGUUAAAACCAACAAACAAGAUCUUGUCCUUAGAUUGUCACUGCUGCCCUGUGUUGGGUCUUCACUGCAGCGAGGCGUGGGUCAUUCUUAGCUGCUUUACUUCAGAAUCACCCCCAGCCCCAUUCUUCUGGGGCCACCUCUUCCAUGAAGGCUGGAAAAACAAAAAGCACCUUUUCCCAGCUUUCACUGUAGGUAGCAAGCCCAUGAGACCCAUCGUUUCCUGAUAAAAGUACAGAAAGUGCCAGCAAUUUUCUUUUUCUCCUGACUUGGACACAGAUGAGAUGGCUAGAGCUGGAGCAGUCACCUUUUGACACUGAGGCAAUAAGCCAUCAUGCUGAGAAUGGCAGAGCAAAAAGAUGAAAACAGCAGCUUUUGGACUGUCUGGCUCCAAGUGUAUUGUUAACUGAGACAUAUAAGCCUCUGCAUGACUAAGUUAGUAUUAGUCGAGUUUCUAUUCCUCGAAGCUAAAAGGCUUCUCAACUAAGACAUAUGUAAAUAUAGAUAGAGAUUAGGUAUAGAUAUAGAUGUAGACAUAGAUAUAGAUAUAGAUAUAGUUAUCCAUAGAUAGAUUUAUCCCUAGAAAAUCAUUCUUUUUCAGUGCAGGCAUGUUUAAGAAAAUACAGCUUAAUUGCUCUACACAGAAUGAAUCUAUCGACUAAAUUGUCGUCUGAACCCAAAUGUACAUGCAUAGUGUCUCCAGGUUAUUUUCCUUAACAUGUUGUACAAAAUAACACAUCUAAAUCCACAGCAAUAAUAGGGAGACAGACACAACAAACUCCAUGCCAACUCAUUUUCCCUGAAGAUACAAUGUAACUGCAUGUGAAUAAUUAUCCCUAAAUCUAGAAAGAAUCUUGAGUAGGAUGAGGUUAAAGUAUGAGAACAAGGGAGAACCUCAGAUUAGUAUAAGAAUAAAUAGCUUUCAAUCCCAAAGCAACUCUAUUUCAAACAAGAAAAUUAGAAAUGUGUUCUUAUUUUUAUCACUGCCAUUCUCAAAGCCCAAUAGAUUGAUGAUGCAAACAACUUGGAAGACUUUUUUUAUCCAAACGACUCCUGGUUAAGCCAGACUGGCAGACCCACAUGUCCAUCAGUUGCUCCGUCCCCUUCUCUCUAUUUGUUCCCUUGAUGCGGGGGGAGGUGCUUUCUCCUGUUCACACUGUCCUGGCACUGAAUUUCUGGAUCCAUUUCCCAACUGACAUCUGCCUCUGCCCUGCUCCUCUGACUGUUGAGAACAUCCUGAUUCACCUUCUGGUAUUUUGGACCUCAGCUCUCUUCUAAUUUAUGAGCUCAGUUACUCUUCCAGUGUGACAGUCUCCUAGAACAAAUUGCAGUCCCAGCUCAGCUGGACUGAGAUAAGGAGGAACUCCAGCCCAACUCCAAAAGAAAAGCUCCGUUUCCCCUCCAUCCCCAGUAACAGGAUUUCAGACAAAGACAAUGAAGCCAGAGGUGAAAGGGUAAAGAAUAGAAGCCACAUCACUUUGCCCCGGUCAUAAAUUACCUGUUUUCAUCUGUGGAACCAUCCUCGUGGAGGGAAGGGAAGACAGUGUACCAUGCUGAACACAGGUGAGACCAUCGUGAAUUGAAGAGGUUUCCUGAAAUGGAAAGAUGAGGACAUAUAUGGUAAAUGGAGGCUUCUGGGUCUUUUCUGAAGGAAAUUAUCGAACCACAGGGACAGAAAAAAACUGGUUAUAUGAAGUUGACCUUUUGAUCAUGAUGAGUUUUAGAAGCAACCCUAUGUUCCUCUCCCCUUCUAUGCCAUCGCCACUUAGUGAGGCUCUAGCAGUGAUGACAGAUCAACUCUCCCCAUAAUUGAUAUCAUGGAAUGUCAUUAGUUACAGGGAUUGGGAUUCAAUAAAGUUAAAGCAGGCUUAGGAGAUCCUGUUUGAGGAAUUUAAUAUAUGGGGCCUUGUAUGCACUCCUAAGUACUUUGACCAAACUGAAAAUAUGUUCUAAAGAGGACAGUUUCCAAACUGUGCAGCAAAGAGGGCAGAGUCUACCUGAUGGAACUGUGUUAGUUAGAUAGAAAUACUAGUCAUUAGGGGUAUGAAUGAGUAAAUCUGUCUAUACGUUUCCAUGCAAAUAGAGAUUGGGAAGGAGCCAUAGUCACCUGCCACCACCCUUUCCUCACUGAACCCUGAUUUUGUUCAUGUUCACCUUGUAUGGCAGGGCAGUCUGGAACUCUUUGCUGCCACAGGGGGAGAAUGUUGAUCGAUCCAGGCUAACUAUGGUAAUUCUGUAUCCUAGACCAGUGGUUCACCCAGGAAUGGACAUUUUGCACAAUUUUGGUCAGUGAGGUGAAGUCUGGAACUUCUGGAGUAGUGUUUUCAGCCCUUAAGAAAAUGGAAAUAAGAAAAAUACCAAUUUUUCUGUCUCUAAAUGUCACCGUGUGAGGAUAUGAUACUGGGAACAGCCAUCUUGUGAUCUUGAAGCAAAGGCCAAGAUGAUUGCAGAGAUGGUUGACAUCAUUGAGCUCCUGACUGAACUUCCCUGGAAUUUCCUGGUGCCUAGACUUCCUGUCGGAGUAUCAAGCCACACAUCUAAAUCUACAUGUCUCUAAUUUUCAAGAACUUUUAAGUCUGACAAUAUUUGUAGUAAAGAAUUUGGUCUGAUCCAUGGCGCUAAGGAUCUGAAGUGUGAAGUAAGACCUGGAAAAGGAACUAUGAGAAGUUCACCUACAGAGACAGAGGAGGAAUUGAUCUUCCUCAGGCUUGUACUCUUAAGGGGAGUGAGGAAAGCAUAUAUCUGAGAAGCAAUGACUCUCCAAAACCCAGGAGCCAAGAAGAGGGAGAAAGGGGCCUGCCCUGGAUUUCUGCACAGGCACAGCAGCCACAAAUCCUGUGCCAGCGGUUUCCACUCUCCUGCUACUGAGUGCUCACCCCACAUUGCUGACCACCUGCUUCCUGCUGCGGUGGACUGAAGCGGCCCCUGCUCCUCACCGAGAAAGCUGCUGGAAGCUAAUAAUGGAAGGUCAUGUUAAAUGCUGGUGUUCUCCUGGUGGGGGUCGUCGGCGGUGGCAGAGAGAUUUGCUCAGUCUGUGACAUGAUGCCUCAAACUCAGCAACAAGUCCUUCAUAUCUGGGUCUCAGCAAUCCCGCUACUCAGAACCUUGACCCACCUUUCAAUAUCCACAUCUUACCAAUACAAAAGCCAGAGCCCACAUCUUCUCCAUAGAAAUAACUAGCUCAGGGCUAUAAAAGUAUUUCAUGUUGAGCAGAUAAAGACCUUUACACACCCUAAACCCUGAGAAGAUUAGGGUAUAUUCUCCACCAUAUAUAAUUCAAAUAUAAACAAACAUAAGGGACUACAUUCAAGUUCUGAUCUUUUUCUAUGACUGCUUCAGUGUGCUUUUUACAUGUCAAAACCUGUUAAUAAGCAAGUUUAUUUUUUUUUUAAUUUAUUGUCACUGCUGAUACAUUUGGCUUUAUUUCUAUCAUCCUACUUUGUGUUUUCCUUUUAUCAUGAUCUUUUUCCAUUGGAAUAGUCAAGUUUGCUUUAUUAUCCUUUGACCACCUGUGGGUUUGGAAUUUGUUCAUUCCAUUUUUAGUCUUCUAGUGGUUACUGUUUGCAGUGACUUCUGACACCAAAUUCCCAGAGUUGGGCCGUACUUCACAGGUUCAGGGCAUAGUCCUUUGCAAGAUUGAUCUCCCUUUGGACACUAGUCACAAGUUUGGGUUUCCCAGGCCAUCUGCACUUCCAACCAACUUGCUGCAAUUUGGAGGGUUCUUUCACUGACUCAAAUUCUGUAAUGCACUAGAAUGACCCACAAAACACAAGGAAGCCUAUACUUCCAAGUUUUAUUAUAAAAAAUAGAAGGGAAUACACAUCCAAAUCAACCAAAAGAAAAGAACAUAGGAUGAGGUCUGAGAGAGUCCCAAAUGUGAAGCUUCCGUGUCCUCAGGGAAACAUCAUCCUCCCAGCACAUUCGUGUGUGACGAUGGGCAGAGCACUGCCAACCAGGGAAGUUCAGCUGAGCUCUGAUAUCCAUGGUUUUCAGUGGAGCACGACUACAGAGGCAGGAUUGAUUGAGUCGCUAGCUGUGGGAUUAAGCUUGAGCUCCAGCUUCCGUUUCUCCUCUGGAGGCUGGACUGAUACCACGUGACUCAAAGCCCUAAUGCUCUAACAUGGCUGGUCUUUCUGUUACGGCCAGCCCCCGUCCUGAGUCAUCUCAUCAACCUGAACUAUGUUGGGGUACACCAUGAGUCACCUCCUGAGCUUAAACUCAGGUAUGGUCCGAGAGGUCCACCCUAAAUAUCAAAGACUCCUAUCAUUUGGGAAAUGCUGAGGGUUUGGAGGCUUCCUUGCAGGAACCAGGGAAAAAUUCUGUAUUAUACACCAUUAUUUUUUUUUCUGAUUGAAAAUGAGUUUAAUUUCAUUUGGCUUUGUUUACAAGUCUUCUUUUCCACCUUAUUCCAUGUAUAUACUAUCAUAAAAAAUAUUUGGGUUAGAAUUUUUUCUUUUUUUUUUUUUCUGAGACAGAGCCUCAC